RNAcentral lists this ribosomal RNA (498 nucleotides) under uncultured bacterium. Its description in RNAcentral is "bacterial SSU rRNA". It matches the Rfam family "Bacterial small subunit ribosomal RNA", at positions 30 to 504 of the family's 1533-position model. The record is from RNAcentral.
CGAACGUUGGCGGCGUGCUUAACACAUGCAAGUCGAACGAGAAAGUUUCCUUCGGGAAGCGAGUAAAGUGGCGCACGGGUGAGUAACACGUAGAUAACCUGUCCAGGUGUUCGGGAUAGCCCUUCGAAAGGGGGAUUAAUACCGGAUACGUUGGUUUGUCUUAAGACAGAUCAAGAAAGGUGGCCUCUAUUUAUAAGCUAUCGCAUUUGGAGGGGUCUGCGUACCAUUAGUUUGUUGGUGGGGUAAAGGCCUACCAAGACUUCGAUGGUUAGCGGGUCUGAGAGGAUGAUCCGUCACACUGGACCUGAAACACGGGCCAGACUCCUACGGGAGGCAGCAGUGAGGAAUAUUGCGCAAUGGGGGAAACCCUGACGCAGCGACGCCGCGUGGGUGAGGAAGGCUUUCGGGUCGUAAAGCCCUGUCAGAAGGGAAGAAAUGUGUAUAGGUUAAUAUCUUAUGCAUUUGACGGUACCUUCAAAGGAAGCACCGGCUAACUCC